UAUCUCUGUAGAGUCUGCAUAUCAAUAAGCGGAGGAAAAGUAAACUAACAAGGAUUCCCUUAGUAACGGCGAGUGAAGCGGGAAGAGCUCAAAUUUGGAAAUCUUCAAGGUUCUACCUUGACGAAUUGUAGUUUAAAGAAGUGUUUUCUGUUAGAUGAGUAGCAAAAGUUCCUUGGAAUGGGACAUCAUAGAGGGUGAGAAUCCCGUAUUUGGUUAUUCAUUCUAGCUUUGUGAUACACUUUCAAAGAGUCGGAUUGUUUGGGAAUGCAGUCCAAAAUGGGUGGUAAAUUUCAUCUAAAGCUAAAUAUUGGCGAGAGACCGAUAGCGAACAAGUACCGUGAGGGAAAGAUGAAAAGAACUUUGAAAAGAGAGUUAAACAGUACGUGAAAUUGUCAAAAGGGAAGCGUUAGACACCAGUGUUGUUUUUUCCGAAAAUCAAUUACGAAUGGCUUGAUUUUGUGUUGUAUUGACCUUAUCAGCUUUCUUCACUUUUUUUCGAGUCUUUCUUAAUGCACUUUUUGGUUAACAAGUCAACAUCAAUUUCUUUUGUUGUAAAAGAGUAUUCGGAAGGUGGCUUUCUUUUCGGAGAAAGUGUUUAUAGCCUUUGGCCUCUGCAAUCGGAGAGAUUGAGGUCUGCAGCGUAGAUCCUUCGGGGUUAGAUACAUUUGUGCUAAGUUAUAGCCUUUCAUAGACAACUUGUUGACUAUGAUCAGUCAUGUAGCUUACUCGCUUAUGCUAUUUUACCUACGCUUAGGAUGUUGACGAGACUGUCGAUCUC
Molecule: ribosomal RNA, 778 nt
Filed under: uncultured Neocallimastigales
Lineage: Eukaryota; Fungi; Neocallimastigomycota; Neocallimastigomycetes; Neocallimastigales
Description: partial large subunit ribosomal RNA
Rfam family: Eukaryotic large subunit ribosomal RNA
Source: RNAcentral